RNAcentral lists this ribosomal RNA (429 nucleotides) under Gemmatimonadota bacterium. RNAcentral describes it as "Gemmatimonadetes bacterium partial 16S ribosomal RNA". It matches the Rfam family "Bacterial small subunit ribosomal RNA", at positions 355 to 776 of the family's 1533-position model. The record is from RNAcentral. Lineage: Bacteria; Pseudomonadati; Gemmatimonadota.
UAGGGAAUCUUCGGCAAUGGACGAAAGUCAGACCGAGCAACGCCGCGUGAGUGAAGAAGGUUUUCGGAUCGUAAAACUCUGUUGUUAGAGAAGAACAAGGACGUUAGUAACUGAACGUCCCCUGACGGUAUCUAACCAGAAAGCCACGGCUAACUACGUGCCAGCAGCCGCGGUAAUACGUAGGUGGCAAGCGUUGUCCGGAUUUAUUGGGCGUAAAGCGAGCGCAGGCGGUUUCUUAAGUCUGAUGUGAAAGCCCCCGGCUCAACCGGGGAGGGUCAUUUGAAACUGGGAGACUUGAGUGCAGAAGAGGAGAGUGGAAUUCCAUGUGUAGCGGUGAAAUGCGUAGAUAUAUGGAGGAACACCAGUGGCGAAGGCGGCUCUCUGGUCUGUAACUGACGCUGAGGCUCGAAAGCGUGGGGAGCAAACAGG